Molecule: transfer RNA, 89 nt
Filed under: Aspergillus leporis
Lineage: Eukaryota; Fungi; Ascomycota; Eurotiomycetes; Eurotiales; Aspergillaceae
Rfam family: tRNA
About the family: Transfer RNA (tRNA) molecules are approximately 80 nucleotides in length.
Source: Rfam by way of RNAcentral
UCCGAUAUGGUGUAACGGCUAACAUCGCCGCCUUUCAGCAAAUGAAAGCAAGCCCGCGGCAGCUCGGGGUUCGAUUCCCCGUAUCGGAG